GACGAACGCUGGCGGCGUGCUUAACACAUGCAAGUCGAACGGAAAGGCCCUGCUUUUGUGGGGUGCUCGAGUGGCGAACGGGUGAGUAACACGUGAGUAACCUGCCCUUGACUUUGGGAUAACUUCAGGAAACUGGGGCUAAUACCGGAUAGGAGCUCCUGCUGCAUGGUGGGGGUUGGAAAGUUUCGGCGGUUGGGGAUGGACUCGCGGCUUAUCAGCUUGUUGGUGGGGUAGUGGCUUACCAAGGCUUUGACGGGUAGCCGGCCUGAGAGGGUGACCGGCCACAUUGGGACUGAGAUACAGCCCAGACUCCUACGGGGGGCAGCAGUGGGGAAUAUUGCACAAUGGGCGGAAGCCUGAUGCAGCAACGCCGCGUGCGGGAUGACGGCCUUCGGGUUGUAAACCGCUUUCGCCUGUGACGAAGCGUGAGUGACGGUAAUGGGUAAAGAAGCACCGGCUAACUACGUG
RNAcentral lists this ribosomal RNA (468 nucleotides) under uncultured bacterium. RNAcentral's name for it is "partial 16S ribosomal RNA". It matches the Rfam family "Bacterial small subunit ribosomal RNA", at positions 28 to 507 of the family's 1533-position model. The record is from RNAcentral.